UUUCCGUAGGUGAACCUGCGGAAGGAUCAUUAGUGAAUUGAAUAUGUUAGCGGACCUCUUCGGAGUCCCUAGCAUCAAAUCAUAUCCAUAACACCUGUGAACUGUAAGGCUGUCUUAAAACGAAAGUGAUUAGAGCGCCUGCCCAUUUUAUACAAACAUUAAAGUAACAAACGUAGUCUUAUUAUAAUCUAAUAAAACUUUCAACAACGGAUCUCUUGGCUCUC
This 224-nucleotide unclassified non-coding RNA is filed under the name plant metagenome. Its description in RNAcentral is "partial contains small subunit ribosomal RNA, internal transcribed spacer 1, and 5.8S ribosomal RNA". The record is from RNAcentral.